GGAAAGGUGGCCGAGUGGUCUAAGGCGGCGGUCUUGAAAACCGCUGUAGGGCUCCGCCCUACCGUGAGUUCGAAUCUCACCCUUUCCG
This 88-nucleotide transfer RNA is filed under the name Pseudomonadota bacterium. RNAcentral describes it as "tRNA-Ser". It matches the Rfam family "tRNA". From Rfam's summary of the family: Transfer RNA (tRNA) molecules are approximately 80 nucleotides in length. Their secondary structure includes four short double-helical elements and three loops (D, anti-codon, and T loops). RNAcentral also lists the same sequence under 3 other names. The record is from RNAcentral. Lineage: Bacteria; Pseudomonadati; Pseudomonadota.